This is an RNA transcript of Centruroides sculpturatus (bark scorpion), 1997 nucleotides long. RefSeq lists it as uncharacterized. Lineage: Eukaryota; Metazoa; Arthropoda; Arachnida; Scorpiones; Buthidae. The transcript has 2 exons. The record is from RefSeq and is a predicted model, not a curated record.
CGCUAACCCGAUAACAUUAAAUGUAAAUACCAAAAUGAUUAAUUUACUGUGUUUUUGUUAUUUCUCAUUCCUGUUGUUAGGUAUUUGGUAUUCGGCCAAAUAGUGAUUUAAAUAUUUGGUACAGUAUUAGGCUGAAUACCGAAAAAUAGGUCGAAUACUGAAUAGUAACCGAAUAUUUGUUACAUCUAGUUACUACCUGACCUCCAAAAAAAACAGUCUUUUUUGUUUUUGUACAAAAAUAUAUUACCUUGAUAUUCACCCAGCUGAUUUUUCAGAAAAAAAAGAAUGUUUCAGUCUGCUAAGACCUGCUUCAGAUGAAAAAAUUUUUGAACAGAUAGAUCUUCUAAUGUUUCACUGUUCUAAUAUGUUGAAUGCAGAAGAGCUUACAUGUAAAUUCAAAAUUAAAAUUUUUAGAAUUGAUCAAUAGGAUUCGUCCAAGCGUUAAAGUUUUUAAACUGUUUUUCAUGAUGACAUGUAUUGUGAAAGGAUUAGUGAUGAUUACAUAGAUGAACUGCAAGAGUGGGUCUGCAGAUUUACAUGUACACUGUUAACCAAACAACUCAAAUUAGAUAAAGAAGUAAUAGUCAGCAGAUAUUAGAGAGGUUAUUGUGCAAGUACAAACGUUACUUGUACACAGCAAGCAGAAGUACUCAGUUUACAUUUUAACUCCAAGAAAAAAUCAUUGCGGCGCAGGUUGACAACAUCACAUGACUCAGUGAACAUCGCGCAUUGACUCAUGGGAAAUUUGUUGAAAAAAUGGCAGAUACAUUUAACAUUGAGGGUUACCAGCAAAGGUAAAUAAACAAAUUAAACUAUCUUAAAGUAUUUAUAGGAAUAACACUAAACAAGUAAAACAGCAACUGUAUUUGGGACAAGACUGUCUUGGAGACUUACUACUAAGUGGAAUCAUUUUGACGCUCAAGAUGGAUCUUGUUCUCAUUCUCCAAUCUUCUUUGGUAUUGCUGCUUUUGGGUGCAAUCGUUCAAACUUUGCCGGCCAUAACCACGAGGUGCAUUUUCAAUGAAAUUAACCUAUCCAAUUUCGAAAUUUCUCUCCAUUGUGUGUCAGCCCAGGUUGAAUUUUUGUCGAUGUGUAAUGAAAAUUUUUUGUUUUUGAAAAAAGUAAUCAAGGCUAUUGUAUCAUCUGAAAUUAUUUUUUCAUUUUGCACAAACGAUAUACAGUUUAACCUGAUUAUAACAUCAUCGGAUCUAAUGACAAACCUAAUAUAACGUCAAAUUUUUAUCAGUUCCGUGAUUUUACUAUUUGCGUUUUUCACCAAAUGCUCGCCCUCUGGUGUUUAAAAACAAAACUACUCUAUCUGGGUCGUUUGAAUGUUCUUUGUAUAUUGUCAACAGUAAAGAUGAAUAGUAAAAGUAAAGUUUUCUGUUGUGUUCCAAAUUGUAAUUCCAAAGCCAUACAUGAUCCCGAUAUAAGUUUUCAUGUAUUCCCACAUGAAAAACAGAUGAUUUUUCAUAAAUCAGAAUUUGGAGAAUCUCAGAAAUGUAACUGACGGAAAGAGUGGAUUCGACUGCUAAGAAUUGGCAAAAAAGUUACGAAAUAUAUGGUAGUAUGUUCGAAACAUUUUACUCCUGAAGAUUAUAUUUUGUCAUCAUAUGCAUGUAAAAGAAGACAAAGAAAACUGUCGUACCAAGUUUACUUUUACCGGAGAGCAGUAUUUGUACAAAAACAUGUUCUAAAAGAAUUAAAAGAAAUAAGUUUUCAGAAAAAACGUAUUAGACAGAAGAAACUUCCCAUACAAUUGAGUCAGAAAUUAAUGAUAGAGAAGCUGCUGAAACACUUUUAAUGUUAUGCAAUUCUAAUUAUGAUAAAAAUUUAAAAUGUCACAGAUCAGUUGGCAUACAAAUAUCCACUGCAGAAUUUUUGGUAAAUAUACGUAAUUUCAUUAAGACAGAAUCCCAACUAAAUUCCAUUACUGGUAUACCAACUUUUGAACUAUUUAAUGCUAUUGUUAAACUUUUUAGUGAUGUAUGUAAAAC